UGGGAUGUAGCCAAGUGGUAAGGCACCAGACUUUGACUCUGGCAUUUCCAAGGUUCGAGUCCUUGCAUCCCAGCCA
This 76-nucleotide transfer RNA is filed under the name Clostridium sp. RNAcentral describes it as "tRNA-Gln". It matches the Rfam family "tRNA". From Rfam's summary of the family: Transfer RNA (tRNA) molecules are approximately 80 nucleotides in length. Their secondary structure includes four short double-helical elements and three loops (D, anti-codon, and T loops). Lineage: Bacteria; Bacillati; Bacillota; Clostridia; Eubacteriales; Clostridiaceae. The record is from RNAcentral.